AUUCCAGCUCCAAUAGCGUAUAUUAAAGUUGUUGCAGUUAAAAAGCUCGUAUUUGAAUUUUUGUCUGUUGGGGCCUUGUUCUGUCCUUAGUGGCGGAGUUUAGUGUCCCGACGGACUUCCUGGGGGCCAACUAGUUGGUGUUUCAUUACACUGAUUAGGGAACCCCCUCGUUUACUGUGAAAAAAUUAGAGUGUUUCAAGCAGGCGUUUCGCAUUGAAUACAUUAGCAUGGAAUAAUAAGAUAGGACUUUGGUGCUAUUUUGUUGGUUUGCACACCAAGGUAAUGAUUAAGAGGGGCAGUUGGGGGUAUUCGUAUUAUCAUGUCAGAGGUGAAAUUCUUGGAUUUUGGUAAGACGAACUACUGCGAAAGCAUUUACCAAGGAUGUUUUCAUUA
Molecule: ribosomal RNA, 393 nt
Filed under: Labyrinthulaceae sp.
Lineage: Eukaryota; Bigyra; Labyrinthulida; Labyrinthulaceae
Description: partial small subunit ribosomal RNA
Rfam family: Eukaryotic small subunit ribosomal RNA
Source: RNAcentral